Molecule: non-coding RNA, 1149 nt
Organism: Pelobates cultripes (western spadefoot toad)
Lineage: Eukaryota; Metazoa; Chordata; Amphibia; Anura; Pelobatidae
Source: the annotation of a GenBank genome assembly
CGGACAAAAAAUUGCAAGGGAGAAAAACAUCAUUGGUUGCUUUUAAAAGCAAUAAUUAAAGGCAUCCAACAUUUAAAUUGACAAAAUAAAUAACAAUAUUAACCCCUUAAGGACACAUGACGGAAAUAUUCCAUCAUGAUUCCCUUUUAUUUCUGAAGUUGUGUCCUUAAGGGGUUAAUACUGAAUAACUGUUGACUAGCGUGGCCGCAUUGAGGCCUAACUGUGUGCCUCAGACCACAAGAGGAUCGCACGUCGUUCUUCAGUCAUGUUCCCAUUCCGCCCAAGCAGAGACAUACUGGACCUCAGGGGAUAUUUUCUGCCACAGCACCUUACCAAAAUACUCUUAAAGAGAACCCUAAGAGGUCAAUACCUAGAGGGUAAACAGUCCAACCGAUACCUGUCGAUACUCCCAUCCUCCAUCUCUGCACCAUGUCGCAAGAGAGGGAAAAAGGACAAAACUCUCACUCAACAGAACAUUGGAGCUGCUUAUCCAAAAUAACUAAUAAACACCACAGAAAAGUUAAAAAACAAAACCAGGCAGAGUGGUGAGCUUGACUAAGCAAGCCUUAUGCAAGCAACUAACCAUCCCUACUAAGAAGAGGGAAAACUCAAUCAAUCCCACAACCGAAACCAGGACAGGAAAAACCUGCAAAGGAUAAAGGAGAGAGAGACUGGAAGGCUGAAUGGGCCCCCAAAAAGGUCUGAUGAGGCCCUCCCCUGCUGCCACACAAAGUAACCAUUUAGUUGUACUUCCCUCCAAGGAGACCACCCCUUAAUUUGUUACGUGCUCACUAGGGGAUUCUCCACUCAUAUUAUGACUAAAUUUCUCCCUGUUACAUGAGUAAUACGUAUUUUAUUGAUGGAAGCAGUAGUGUUACUUUAACCAUAUGAAAAACAUUAUUUUGUAGACUGUGCAAACAUUCCUCAGGCCUGCCAUCUUACCUUUCCCACAAUGACUGCAUACAAUUUAACCUAUUGAACAUUACUUUCAUUUGUGUUGUCUGCCCAUCUGGUGUUUAAAUAGUUAACCCCUUAAGGACACAUGACAGAAUAUUCCGUCAUGAUUCCCUUUUAUUCCAGAAGUUGAGUCCUUAAGUGGUUAAAAGAAGUUUCACUAUGCCACAUAUUUAUAAUAGGUAUGCUGAAUUU